UGUAUAGCAAUUGCUAGUUGCACUAAAAGUUUUAGUGUGAAAUCAAUUUAGUUGAAUAAAAUUCUGGGUGGAAUUAUGAUAAUGACAUAAUCUGUUCAUAAGUCUUGACCAAAUUACGUGCCAGCAGUCGCGGUAAUACGUAGAAGACAAGUGUUAUUCAUCUUUAAUAGGUUUAAAGGGUACUUAGACGGUAAAUCAAGCCUUAAUAAGGGACUAAUUUGCUAGAGUUUUAUGUGAAAAAGUAUUAAAGUACUGCUGGUGUAGAGAUGAAAUUCUGUCAUACCUUGAAUGGCACAGGUUAAGGCGAAAGCAUCUUUUUAUGUAAAAACUGACGUUGAAGGACGAAGGCUUUGUGUCUCGAACAGGAUUAGAUACCCUAGUAGUCUAAGCAGACAAUGAUGAAUGUCAUAGAUUAGAUAAAAUUUGAUCUAUAAAUGAAAAUGUAAGCAUUCCACCUCAAGAGUAAUUUGGCAACAUUGGAACUGAAAUCAUUAGACCGUUUCUGAGAACAGUAGUGAAGUAUGUUGUUUAAUUUGAUAAUCCGCAAAAAACCUUACCACUAAUAUGAAUAGAUAUCUUUUAUCAUACAAGCGUUGCACGGCUGUCUUCAGUUAAUGUCGUGAGACUUUGGUUAGUUCCAUAAAAUUAACGUAAACCCUUACUUUAUUUACUUAUAAACUAGAUCACCGCUAUAUU
This 696-nucleotide ribosomal RNA is filed under the name Caloplaca pellodella. RNAcentral's name for it is "mitochondrial SSU rRNA". It matches the Rfam family "Bacterial small subunit ribosomal RNA", at positions 385 to 1142 of the family's 1533-position model. Lineage: Eukaryota; Fungi; Ascomycota; Lecanoromycetes; Teloschistales; Teloschistaceae. The record is from RNAcentral.